RNAcentral lists this ribosomal RNA (253 nucleotides) under uncultured bacterium. RNAcentral's name for it is "partial 16S ribosomal RNA". It matches the Rfam family "Bacterial small subunit ribosomal RNA", at positions 524 to 776 of the family's 1533-position model. The record is from RNAcentral.
UACGAAGGGGACUAGCGUUGUUCGGAUUUACUGGGCGUAAAGCGCGCGUAGGCGGAUCGCUAAGUCAGGGGUGAAAUCCCAGGGCUCAACCCUGGAACUGCCUUUGAUACUGACGGUCUGGAGAUCGGGAGAGGUUGGUGGAAUUCCGAGUGUAGAGGUGAAAUGCGCAGAUAUCAGGAGGAACACCAGUGGCGAAGGCGGUGCUCUGGGCCGGAACUGACGCUGAGGAGCGAAAGCGUGGGGAGCAAACAGG